AUAGACACAGUCGAAAAUGGCAUUUUUGGGGGGCAAUUUGUUGGAUAUAAAUUUGGUAUUUAUCAAUUAAAUAUAAUUGGUGGGUCCAAUGUUUAUUUGGAGGUGAUAUUGUCAAAAUAAAACUUUCAGAGUUGGCGUCGAAAGCCAACUGGGUCGAAGCCAAAGAGCGCUUCGAGAGAUAUGGACAACGCGUCCAGUUUUGGCUUUGCCAGAAGGCUAUCGAAAGCACGAAAUCGAACUGAUAGAGAGUUGGGCCAAGCCCAAAGACGAAACAACGAGCGGCCCAAGAGGCAUUGGCGCGCGCUGAAGGAAUGGAAGAUGAAGUGGAGAACGUGGUCGACGUGGCUAAUCGAGGAGCGUCCAGAUGAUCAAGAAACAGUUACCACUUUGUAGUAGUAUUUAUAGUAGUUUUUCAUUCAGAACCGGGGUCACAAAAAUUUAUACAAACACUCUCUCUAAAAAUUCUACGUACUCAGCGAUCGAACGAACGGAAUUCAGAGGAGAAAUGUAUGUUUUGUGAACC
This 523-nucleotide long non-coding RNA is filed under the name Trifolium pratense (red clover). RNAcentral describes it as "long non-coding RNA (TPRA_LNC008544)". The record is from RNAcentral. Lineage: Eukaryota; Viridiplantae; Streptophyta; Magnoliopsida; Fabales; Fabaceae.